UGCUGAGGUAGUCUAGACCGGUAAGGCGCAGGCCUGGAAAGCCUGUGGGGCGUCCAGCCCCUCGGGAGUUCAAAUCUCCCCCUCAGCGU
RNAcentral lists this transfer RNA (89 nucleotides) under Euryarchaeota archaeon ADurb.BinA087. RNAcentral describes it as "tRNA-Ser". It matches the Rfam family "tRNA". Rfam says of the family: Transfer RNA (tRNA) molecules are approximately 80 nucleotides in length. Their secondary structure includes four short double-helical elements and three loops (D, anti-codon, and T loops). The record is from RNAcentral. Lineage: Archaea; Methanobacteriati; Methanobacteriota.